AUGAACGCUGGCGGCGUGCCUAAUACAUGCAAGUCGAGCGAACGGACGAGAAGCUUGCUUCUCUGAUGUUAGCGGCGGACGGGUGAGUAACACGUGGAUAACCUACCUAUAAGACUGGGAUAACUUCGGGAAACCGGAGCUAAUACCGGAUAAUAUUUUGAACCGCAUGGUUCAAAAGUGAAAGACGGUCUUGCUGUCACUUAUAGAUGGAUCCGCGCUGCAUUAGCUAGUUGGUAAGGUAACGGCUUACCAAGGCAACGAUGCAUAGCCGACCUGAGAGGGUGAUCGGCCACACUGGAACUGAGGCACGGUCCAGACUCCUACGGGAGGCAGCAGUAGGGAAUCUUCCGCAAUGGGCGAAAGCCUGACGGAGCAACGCCGCGUGAGUGAUGAAGGUCUUCGGAUCGUAAAACUCUGUUAUUAGGGAAGAACAUAUGUGUAGGUAACUGUGCACAUCUUGACGGUACCUAAUCAGAAAGCCACGGCUAACUACGUG
Molecule: ribosomal RNA, 496 nt
Filed under: uncultured bacterium
Lineage: Bacteria
Description: partial 16S ribosomal RNA
Rfam family: Bacterial small subunit ribosomal RNA
Source: RNAcentral